GAGUGGACUCCUACGGGAGGCAGCAGUAGGGAAUCUUCGGCAAUGGACGGAAGUCUGACCGAGCAACGCCGCGUGAGUGAAGAAGGUUUUCGGAUCGUAAAGCUCUGUUGUAAGAGAAGAACGAGUGUGAGAGUGGAAAGUUCACACUGUGACGGUAUCUUACCAGAAAGGGACGGCUAACUACGUGCCAGCAGCCGCGGUAAUACGUAGGUCCCGAGCGUUGUCCGGAUUUAUUGGGCGUAAAGCGAGCGCAGGCGGUUAGAUAAGUCUGAAGUUAAAGGCUGUGGCUUAACCAUAGUACGCUUUGGAAACUGUUUAACUUGAGUGCAAGAGGGGAGAGUGGAAUUCCAUGUGUAGCGGUGAAAUGCGUAGAUAUAUGGAGGAACACCGGUGGCGAAAGCGGCUCUCUGGCUUGUAACUGACGCUGAGGCUCGAAAGCGUGGGGAGCAAACAGGAUUAGAUACCCUUGUAGUCCUGAGU
This 480-nucleotide ribosomal RNA is filed under the name uncultured bacterium. RNAcentral describes it as "bacterial SSU rRNA". It matches the Rfam family "Bacterial small subunit ribosomal RNA", at positions 329 to 800 of the family's 1533-position model. The record is from RNAcentral.